RNAcentral lists this ribosomal RNA (467 nucleotides) under uncultured bacterium. RNAcentral describes it as "partial 16S ribosomal RNA". It matches the Rfam family "Bacterial small subunit ribosomal RNA", at positions 28 to 507 of the family's 1533-position model. The record is from RNAcentral.
GAUGAACGCUGGCGGCGUGCCUAACACAUGCAAGUCGAACGAUGACGACCGAACUUGCUCGGUCUGAUUAUCGGCGAACGGGUGAGUAUCACGUGUGCAACCUGCCCUUCUCUCUCGGAUAACCUCGGGAAAUCGGGGCUAAUACCGGAUAUGAGCUCCCGUCCCAUGGCGGGCGUUGGAAAGUUUUGCGGUGUAGGAUGGGCUCGCGGCCUAUCGGUUUGUUUGUGAGGUAGGGGCAGACCAAGGCGAUGACGGGUAGCCGGCCUGAGAGGGCGGACGGCGACACUAGGACUGAGGCACGGACCAGUCUGGUACGGUCGGCAGCGGUCGGAAGUCUUACACAAUGGGCCCGAGUCUGUGACGGCGGCGUCGCGUGCGGAAAGCCGUCUUUCUGGUUAAGAACAUCUGCCAGCGGAGAAGAAGCGAUAGUGACGGUACCUAAAGAAGAAGCGCCGGCUAACUACGUG